GAUGAACGCUAGCGAUAGGCUUAACACAUGCAAGUCGAGGGGCAGCAUGGUCUUAGCUUGCUAAGACUGAUGGCGACCGGCGCACGGGUGCGUAACGCGUAUGCAACUUGCCUCACAGAGGGGGAUAACCCGUCGAAAGACGGACUAAUACCGCGUACACUUGGGAUAGGGCAUCCUGACCCAAGGAAAUGAAAUUCGCUGUGAGAUAGGCAUGCGUCCCAUUAGCUAGUUGGUGAGGUAACGGCUCACCAAGGCGACGAUGGGUAGGGGAACUGAGAGGUUGACCCCCCACACUGGUACUGAGACACGGACCAGACUCCUACGGGAGGCAGCAGUGAGGAAUAUUGGUCAAUGGGCGAGAGCCUGAACCAGCCAAGUCGCGUGAAGGAUGACUGUCUUAUGGAUUGUAAACUUCUUUUAUACGGGAAUAACAAGAGUCACGUGUGGCUCCCUGCAUGUACCGUAUGAAUAAGCAUCGGCUAACUCCGUG
This 490-nucleotide ribosomal RNA is filed under the name uncultured bacterium. RNAcentral's name for it is "partial 16S ribosomal RNA". It matches the Rfam family "Bacterial small subunit ribosomal RNA", at positions 28 to 507 of the family's 1533-position model. The record is from RNAcentral.